Syntrophobacter fumaroxidans MPOB is the source of this 81-nucleotide non-coding RNA. The record is from Rfam. NCBI's taxonomy places the organism in Bacteria, Pseudomonadati, Thermodesulfobacteriota, Syntrophobacteria, Syntrophobacterales, Syntrophobacteraceae.
CUACCGCUGUCGAGAGGCGGCGGGAAGGGUCGACAGAAGUCAGCAGAGGGCAUAGUAGGUCCUUCGACCGGACUGAAGGCC